Paralichthys olivaceus (Japanese flounder) is the source of this 1296-nucleotide non-coding RNA. The record is from RefSeq and is a predicted model, not a curated record. NCBI's taxonomy places the organism in Eukaryota, Metazoa, Chordata, Actinopteri, Pleuronectiformes, Paralichthyidae.
GAACUCUACCAAGACAACUUGGAGUCGCUGUUUCUUAUGCAAUUAACCAAGACAUUGGGAUAAGCAUUGUCCCAAAUGACUUGUCAAACUUAGGUGUGAAGUGAGUGUUAGAUGUUAGAUUGUUAAUUUGGGAAAGUUGCAGAUAAAGGGUGGCACAAAUACCUGUUUGCCAAUGUUGGAGAGGUAUGGGGUGGGAGGGUCUGAUGCAAUACCAGCAUUUGAUGGAUGCAGUCAGGCAAUACUGUUUUUUGUUAAAAAGUAGGCAGGUAGGAGCACAUAGGUAGCUUGUACAGUAUUUGAAGAAGCAACUGGUUCUGUCAAAGUGAGAACAGUGCAUUAGUUUCAAGCCUUUCUCCUUGCCUUUUGUCUUUGCAUUAUUUGUGGGUAGACAAGGUGUCAUGUAUGUAUAUGAGGGCAUAUUUUUCUCCAGUAUUGUCAUAGAAACUCCCACACUAAAUUCCCUUGUAAUCCAAAAGGGGUCAGCUGUUGAACCCCCACCCACUCAAAGGGUUGAAAUGGGAUCAGACACCAAGUGAAACCAAUCUUUGGCUUUCCAUUUCUCAACAAUUGGCACAUGGAAAAAAUUGGCAAUUCCACUCAAAGAACUCAGGGGCCACUGUGACAAGGACGUGGACUUCAACGCUCAAACAGAACACACAUGCCAUACAGUGAUGGAAGCCUGCAGCCCACCAGAAAAGCCAACAAAGUUGUGUCCAUGACAACUGAAGAAGACUGCUAUGGAUUACCAACCCUACUUCAUGUCAAUGCCUCGGUGCUCUGGGAUGAAGAUGACCAAGAUGGACCCAGCCCUCCUUGUUGCCUUACUGCCCCAGGAUGUGUUCAGCAGUAUGAAUGCUGUGACCUGACCUCACCAAGCCUUGUGUACUGCCUUGACCUGAAGACCUCUUCUCCAAAUGGAACAAGUCAGUUUAACAUGGACUGUGCUGUCUUAAGCCAAAAACUUGAUCCAACCAAGUACCUCCUACAUCACAGACUCUGAAAAACUGUCCCUAACCAGAGACACACAACAUUGCCCUACAACAGGACACAUGACACACUACAACAUGAUGCGCUGCAAAGUGUCACAAGACACUAUUGGACAUGAUGCAUAACAACACAAUGCAAUUUAGAGACAUUUUGAAUGUAUUGCUGCAGUUACCAUGUCAUAUUUAUUGUAUCCAACCCUGUAUUGAAUCACUGAAUAUCAUCACUUUUUUCAUCAAGUAAAAUUGUUGCUUAUCUCUCAACUUGGUGAUUAUCUUCAAAUUUUGUCCAUCUUCAAACUACAAUCAGACA